Molecule: non-coding RNA, 2733 nt
Organism: Anas platyrhynchos (mallard)
Lineage: Eukaryota; Metazoa; Chordata; Aves; Anseriformes; Anatidae
Source: RefSeq, a predicted model, not a curated record
GAUAGGAUGGAAAUCAAUUUCUUUUGUAUUCAAUGCUGUAUUUCAGUAAUGCAUAUUCAAUUUUGUAACUUCAGUAUAAAUACAUACCUACAGUAUAAAAUGAUACAAACAUACCUAACUUACUUGACAAUAUAAAUUUUGGGAAACUGAGUUAUUUCAGGGUAGCUUUGAAUUAACAUGCUAUGCUAAAAAUAGCAAUUCUUUCCAAAAAGUGAAAUCUAAAAAGCUCGACUGAAAAUCUUGACUAGCAGAAAGAUCAAAAGUGCCAAUUACUGGAUCAAAACCACUAACAGGUACAUUGAUUGAUGUGGAUGUACUUCAAGAAUUACUGAAUAAGCUGAAUUUAGAAACUGAGAACCACUGCUGGAUAAACUAAAAUGGUUUUUGCAUAGCAUAGGCUACUUAUAUUCUCAUACUUUAAUCCUGUAUUUGUCUUUUACAGUUAAAUUAAAAGAAAAACAAGACACCCAUAAGUAUAUACAUUCAGAAAAGGAGACCUCCCUGAUGAAAUACUUAAGACUGGAUUAGACAAAUGUCUCCUAGACCACAUUAUUUGCUACUUGGGCAGGGCUGGAGAUUGACUUCAUGAACUUCAUGGCUUUCCUUUGUGCAAUAAACACUCAAUCUGAAGACAAGGAGACAAGAGUCUUUUCCUGAAGAUGGAGAAAGUCAGGAAACAGCAAAUUAGAAAAAGACAGUGGUGGUUUGAAAUUAAUACUUCCAAAGAGAUGAAUUACCUAACAGACAGCAUUGCCAUAAAAGCAAAGUUAAACAAUUUUGCUUCUCUGAGUGUAAGCAGCAAUGUGACAGGAAGACUGCUUGUGAACUCUAUCUAGACUCUACAGUUCCAGUAAGCAACCCUUUCAGUUCACUAGCAGAGUUUCCCAUCAGAUGGUGCUGCAGCAAUAAAUAAUAGGAGCCUCAAAACAGUGAAACCUACACUGCUAGGAGAUGGUGAAAAUACGACAGAUACAAACUAAAGGCAAGAGAAGAAGGGUUAACUUUAAAUUCUGGAACCAUCCAGCCUAGCAGCUGAUACCUGGAUCCUUAACAGAGUCUGAAAACUUUUUGGAUGCGGACUGGUUUUGCUUAUCAGUUCUUCAAAGUUAGGCAAGUUAGGUUCAAGGCAUAUUCCAACUACAAAAAUAGCACAGCAUCCACCACCACGGCUAAACGUUUUUUUCCACAAAGAUAGACAUGAGUGGAAUACACAACUCUGAGAUUUAAAAUAAAUAAAUAAAUAAAUGAUACACUACUAUUUGCAGUUGGAAAUAAGCCAUUGUUAAGAGUAGUUUCUUAACUAAAAGCCAAGUUUCUUAAAAUGGAAGUAAAACAAGAUUUUCUGACAAAAGUAUACUCUCUUACUAGUCUAGCUGGUAUAGCUGGAAACAUAAGCACGCUUUCUUAAUAUACAUGUAUAGUCAGUGUGGAUCCAACCAUAAAUACAAAAGCAAGAUCACAUGUGCUGCCUCCAAUUCUGAUAAUAGAUAAACAUGAAUCCAGCUUCUGGAACCUUUAUGACCUUCUUUUCCCAUAGAAAGUGUAAGAGAAAAGAAGAUGCAAUGUUUCCUUAAGUCCACCACAACUUGAAACACUGAUCAACCAGCAAAUUCUUACUGUCAACACCGAUAAAAGGAAAAUGAAAUAUAUGCAAUCUCUCUCUUUUCAAGAACGUACAUACAAGAAUGCGUGCUUCCAUGAAUGAGUUCAUGGAGGAAGAAUGGCAAGCAAAAUUCACCCUUUUGAAAGGAAGGCUAGAAAACAUAAGCUAAAUCAAAUGUUCAAGAACAGCGUUACUACUCAUUAAUUCAGCUCUGUCUCUUUGUCAGGUGUGUCCUAUAGGAUGCAUCCUAGAGAUUGCACUCCUCAAUGCGUUCCUCUUUCAGGAUACUAGUUGUUUUACAAAUGUCCCAAAUAACCCCACUGCAGUGUUACAUCUGUGGCUGCUCAUGAAACUGACUAUCAUCCAAGCUUUUCUUUGGUGUCGUUUUUUUUAAGAGAGUUUUUCUUCACCUCCUACAGACUUGAUUAUUCCAAGUGAAGGAGCUCUUCCUCCUUCCCCCUCACCAUGUCUAAGUGUUUCACAAAAUAAGUUGUAGCAAAAAAAUAAACAAACAUGUUUGGAGGACAAAGUGGAUCCACUUCUAUAACUCAUCUCUCAUUAUUAAGUCAAAUUUAAUUAACAUUAGAAAAGAGAGCACUGCUACCAAAGCAAUUUCUGCAUCUGUCAUUAAUACCAGAUGAAUUGUUGGUGCCUGAAAUACCCCCUUCUUUUGGUAUGCUGACCUGAAAAAUCUCAUUGAUAGCAUUAUCUUCAGUUCUAGUUUCACUGUUAACAUUUCCUCUCUCCCAGAAAUGCAGAGGGUACUAGAAAGCAGUAGAAACAGGAUUUUCUUCUGAAAUGAGCUACCUUAAAGUGAUCUCAAACCUGGUUGUUAGAACUGAGUGCUGGAUAAUACCACAUUCUAUAUGAACAUUUUCAUAACACAAACAUCAGUCUUUCUGUUUGAGUCUUAAAAUACCAGUUCUACAUCGAUGCACUUGAAGUACAUCAGAAGGACGCAUUUAAAGUACAUACAAAAUUAACCUUUUAAUAUAUUAUUGUAUCCUAAAAACCCAUAUAGUCUUUAAUACCAAUUUGUACACCCAAUAUAAGAUUGCUUUUACCCAUCUAACAUUUAACUAGACUAAGGCAUAGUCUGAAAAUAAAGGGCAAUGAUAACUUCCACUCCA